CACGGAGGAAGCGGGAAACUUUUUGGGCCCUUGCCGGAGAAAGCUUGUCGGAGAAUUAAAUAACCAUCGGAGCAAUGGAGACUUGAAGCUGAUGAUCAUCAUUUGACGAAGUUUACUUUUUGUCUAUAGUGAAAAAUGGACAUUGACACUUUUAAGAAAUCGGGGGCCAAAUCUCCUUGUUCGAAUUACCGCUGAGUCGGUACGGAAAGUUCGGAAAACCCUAAACCCUUCUUCUCUUAGCUCUUCCACAUGGCGUCGCCCUUUUGUCUUCCUUUGGUUUCCGAGAAUUUCAGUGAAGUUCAUGAUGCAAGAAGCUACCUAUCACCCUUUGCGAGUUCCAGGUCGGAUCUUGAUGCUACGACCUCUGAAGAUCAAGCUGCUUCACAACACAAGAGAAGAAGAAUUGCCUCUAAUGCUGAUCUUUCAUCUCAUGAUCAUUUGAAGGAGCAGAAAAACUCCUUUCCGACAUUGCAGUCUCCUGAUUAUUAUAUGUCUCCAAGCUUAGAGGAGAUGUCUAACCACGUUCUGAAAGAUCCCGAUUACACUAGUCAAGUGUUAGAUUUUACUGUAGGACGUUGUGGUUAUGGGUCUGUUAAGUUUUUUGGUACGACUGAUGUCAGAUGGUUAGAUUUAGACCAAAUUGUGAAGUUUCAUAGGAACGAAGUUAUUGUGUACGAAGAUGAAACCACCAAGCCUAUAAUUGGUCAAGGUCUUAACAAGCCUGCUGAAGUUACUUUGGUUCUGCGGUCAAUAACAGCCAGCUUUUUGGAAAGGCAAUUUGAUAAUGUUGUGAAGAAAUUGAAAUACUUUACCGAGAAACAGGGAGCUCACUUCAUUUCAUUUGAUCCAGAAAAUUGCGAAUGGAAGUUCUCAGUUAACCAUUUCAGCCGGUUUGGCUUGACGGAAGAUGAAGAAGAAGAUAUUGUAAUGGAUGAUGCUAAUGCGGUACAAGAUCCUGCAGAAAUCAACUGCAACGAGAUUUCUGAUAAUAAUGAAAACAACUCAAUGGACUUCACUGAAUCUGUGCUUUGCCAUUCCCUUCCCGCUCAUCUUGGGCUUGAUCCAUUAAAGAUGAAAGAAAUGAGAAUGGUUAUAUUUCCUGAAGACGAGCAGGAGUUUGAGGAUUAUAAUGAAUCUCCUAAGUUUCAAAAAUCAUUCACAGGUAGAGAAUAUAUGAGAUCUCCUUUUAAGGAUUCUUCUCAGAGGACGAGCCAAAAAUUAAAUUCUCCAGUUGUCAGAAAGACUCCACUAGCAUUGCUUGAAUAUAAUCAAGGUAGCCUUGACUCAUAUUCUCCUGGUUCCAUUUUGAUGUCCCAACCAAAAAAGGUUACUCCUGUUAAGCGCUUGAAAGCAGAAGGUUUCAAGCUAGACCUUAUGCAUGAAACUCCAAUUACUAUAAAUCAUUCUUGCAACAUAGUUGAUGCAGGUUUGUUUAUGGGUAGGUCAUUUCGUGUUGGGUGGGGCCCUAAUGGCAUCCUAGUUCAUACUGGAAAUUUGGUGGGGAGUACGAAUUCACAGAGGGUCCUAUCAUCUGUAAUAAAUGUAGAGAAAGUUGCCAUUGACAAUGUGGUGAGAGAUGAAAAUGGUAAAAUGCGUAAAGAAUUAGUUGAAUUUGCUUUUGAUCUUCCUUUAAGUUUACAUAAGGAAAUGAAUCAUGAAUUUGAAGAAGGAUCCUUCAAUUUGAAACUUCAAAAGGUUGUCUUCAAUCGUCUAACGCUUCCAGAUAUUUGUAGGGGCUAUAUAGAUAUCGUUGAAAGGAAGCUUGAAGUUCCUGGAUUAUCUUCUUCUACUCGUUUAGUUUUGACACACCAGAUAAUGGUUUGGGAGUUGAUAAGAGUUCUUUUUUCUGAAAGGGAAAAUGUUGGCAAUAGUUUGGCUGACGAUAAUGAGGAAGACAUGAUGCAGGAUAUAAAAGAAGCUUCAUUGAAAUUUGACUUGGAAGCACUCCCUCUUAUUCGGAGGGCUGAAUUCAGCUGUUGGCUGCAAGAAAGUGUUUUCCCCCAGGUGCAAUAUGAAAUAAGUUCAUUAAAUGAUUCCAGUUAUCUUGAACAUAUAUUUUUUCUUAUGACUGGGCGGCAGCUGGAUGCAGCAGUGCAACUUGCUUCUUCUAGAGGUGAUGUGAGACUUGCUUGUUUGCUGAGUCAGGCUGGUGGAUUCACUGUUGGAUCCACUGUGAGUCGCAAUGAUGUUGCUCUACAACUUGAUAUUUGGAGAAGGAAUGGAUUGGAUUUCAGCUUUAUUGAGAAGGAACGGACACGGUUAUAUGAGUUGCUGGCAGGGAAUAUAUUUGAUGCUUUGCAUGACAUUGACCUUGACUGGAAGAGAUUCCUUGGGCUGUUGAUGUGGUAUCGUCUACCACCAGAUACCACUCUGCCUGUAAUAUUUCACUCUUAUCAGCAUCUUCUUAAGAGUGGAAGGGCUCCACUCCCUGUUCCAGUUUAUGCUGAUGGGUCUCAAGAACUGGCUUUGAAGUCUAAUACAAAUGAAUAUCUUGACCUCUCAUAUUUUCUCAUGCUGCUUCAUGCUAAUGAAGAUCCUGAAUUUGGCUUUCUUAAGACUAUGUUUAGUGCCUUCUCAUCAACAGAUGACCCACUUGAUUAUCACAUGAUCUGGCAUCAACGUGCAGUGUUGGAAGCUAUUGGUGCAAUCAGUUCUAAAGAUCUGCAUAUUCUUGAUAUGGGAUUUGUUUCUCAAUUGCUGUGUUUGGGGCAAUGCCAUUGGGCCAUCUAUGUGGUCCUUCAGAUGCCCUUCCAUGAUGAUUUUCCACACCUCCAGGCUAAAGUUAUCAGGGAAAUCCUAUUCCAAUACUGUGAAAUAUGGAGUUCACAGGAAUCACAAUUUGAAUUUAUUGAGAACUUGGGUGUUCCAAGAAUAUGGCUACACGAGGCGAUGGCAGUUUUUUUCAGUUACCAUGGGAAUCUUCCAGAGGCCCUCGAACAUUUCAUUGAAUGUAGAAAUUGGCAUAAAGCUCAUACUAUUUUUACAACUUCAGUUGCUCAUAGAUUAUUCCUUUCAGCUGAGCACUCAGAUAUAUGGAAGCUUGCUACUUCAAUGGAGAUCCACAAGUCUGAAAUAGAAAAUUGGGAAUUUGGAGCUGGGAUUUAUAUAUCAUUUUAUUCUCUGAGGAGUUCUUUGCAGGAAAAUAAUGAAGGGAGUGAACUGGACUCACUUGAGAGCAGAAAUGUUGCUUGUGAGGAAUUUCUUGGUCGACUAAAUGAAUCAUUGGCGGUUUGGGGUGACAGAUUACCAGUUGAGGCAAGAGUUGUUUACUCAAAGAUGGCCGAGGAGAUAAGUAGAUUACUUCUGUCAGAUAUUGGGGAGGGUUCUACUCGUGAUGCUCAGUUGAGUUGCUUUAACACUAUUUUUACCGCCCCAAUGCGAGAGGAUCUUCGCUCAAGUCACUUGCAGGAUGCUGUUUCCCUUUUCACUUGUUACCUGUCAGAAAUCACAUCAUAGUCUUCACCUCUCUGAACACGUUUUCCGCAGCUUCAAUUUUUAACCGGAGGAUCAUGUUUUUUUUUUUCAUAUAAUCAAUGCCUCUAUCCUUUGCAGUAUACAGUAAAGGCAGGAGUGAAGUUUUGCAGACCCCUGCCUAGAGAAAAGCAUCAACGAAUCAGCUUGCUUCCGAUGCGAAUGACUGAUCUUUAGCUUCGAUUUUGUUGCGGACUUACCAGGAAAUUUAGAGUUAAUGUGUUGCCUGUAUAUUGAACUAGGAGAUUUGUUUCAUAUUUGUACACAUUUGAAUUUUAAUUGGUUUGAUAGAUCUGAUUCUUUCCCAUUUCCGUAUUGAAACAUCCCCUAAAGAUUUAUGAUUUGAUAUGUAA
Molecule: RNA transcript, 3824 nt
Organism: Benincasa hispida (wax gourd)
Lineage: Eukaryota; Viridiplantae; Streptophyta; Magnoliopsida; Cucurbitales; Cucurbitaceae
Gene: SAR3
Gene name: SUPPRESSOR OF AUXIN RESISTANCE 3
Source: RefSeq, a predicted model, not a curated record